RNAcentral lists this ribosomal RNA (428 nucleotides) under uncultured bacterium. RNAcentral's name for it is "bacterial SSU rRNA". It matches the Rfam family "Bacterial small subunit ribosomal RNA", at positions 29 to 455 of the family's 1533-position model. The record is from RNAcentral.
AACGAACGCUGGCGGCGUGUCUUAAGCAUGCAAGUCGAGCGGCAAGGGCAGCAAUGCCCCUAGAGCGGCGGACUGGUGAGUAACGCGUGGGUGAUCUACCUCGGGGUUGGGGAUAGCCAUUAGAAAUAGUGGGUAAUACCGAAUACGCUCCCCUGAUUACGGUCAGGGGAGGAAAAGCGCUACGGCGCUGACCUGAGAUGAGCCCGCGUCCCAUUAGCUAGUUGGUGAGGUAACGGCCCACCAAGGCUAUGAUGGGUAGGCGGCCUGAGAGGGUGUACGCCCACACUGGGACUGAGAUACGGCCCAGACUCCUACGGGAGGCAGCAGCUAAGAAUAUUCCGCAAUGGACGAAAGUCUGACGGAGCGACGCCGCGUGGAUGAUGAAGGCCGGAAGGUUGUAAAAUCCUUUUGUCGGGGAAGAAUAACCA